CAGAGAAUAGUUUAAAUAAAAUAUUAAUUUUGGAGAUUAAUGAUAGAAAGUAAUUCUUUCUCUGA
RNAcentral lists this transfer RNA (65 nucleotides) under Cryptopleurum minutum. RNAcentral's name for it is "tRNA-Pro". The record is from RNAcentral. Lineage: Eukaryota; Metazoa; Arthropoda; Insecta; Coleoptera; Hydrophilidae.